RNAcentral lists this microRNA (23 nucleotides) under Caenorhabditis elegans. Lineage: Eukaryota; Metazoa; Nematoda; Chromadorea; Rhabditida; Rhabditidae. The record is from RNAcentral.
UAUGACACUGAAGCGUUACCGAA